UCCUGGUAAAAUCGGGUAGCUUAACUAUCUAUAUGCUAGGAAUACUGCUAUACUAGAGGGCGGGAGAGGUCUGAGGUACUACAGGGGUAGGGGUGAAAUCUUAUAAUCCUUGUAGGACCACCAGUGGCGAAGGCGUCAGACUGGAACGCGCCUGACGGUGAGGGACGAAAGCCAGGGGAGCGAACCGGAUUAGAUACCCGGGUAGUCCUGGCCGUAAACGAUGCAUACUAGGUGAUGGUACGGCCAUGAGCCGUAUCAGUGCCGUAGGGAAACCGUUAAGUGUGCCGCCUGGGAAGUACGGUCGCAAGGCUAAAACUUAAAGGAGUUGGCGGGGGAGCACCACAAGGGGUGAAGCCUGCGGUUCAAUUGGACUCAACGCCGGGAAACUUACCAGGGGAGACAGCAGUAUGACGGUCAGGUUGACGACCUUACCCGACGAGCUGAGAGGAGGUGCAUGGCCGUCGCCAGUUCGUGCCGUGAGGUAUCCUGUUAAGUCAGGCAACGAACGAGAUCCGCGCCUUUAUUUGCCAACAAGAAGUCACGACUUCGUUGGGAACACUAAAGGGACCGCCGUCGAUAAGACGGAGGAAGGAGCGGGCAAAGGCAGGUCAGUAUGCCCCGAAACCCCUGGGCUACACGCGGGCUGCAAUGGUAUGAACAAUGGGCUGUGACUCCGAAAGGAGAAACCAAUCCCGAAAUCAUAUCUCAGUUGGAAUUGUCGGCUGUAACCCGCCGACAUGAACGUGGAAUCCCUAGUAAUCGUGUGUCAUCAUCGCCCGGUGAAUACGU
This 789-nucleotide ribosomal RNA is filed under the name uncultured archaeon. Its description in RNAcentral is "bacterial SSU rRNA". It matches the Rfam family "Archaeal small subunit ribosomal RNA", at positions 539 to 1327 of the family's 1478-position model. The record is from RNAcentral.